Molecule: ribosomal RNA, 375 nt
Filed under: uncultured eukaryote
Lineage: Eukaryota
Description: partial 18S ribosomal RNA
Rfam family: Eukaryotic small subunit ribosomal RNA
Source: RNAcentral
CAAUAGCGUAUAUUUAAGUUGUUGCAGUUAAAAAGCUCGUAGUUGGAUUUCGGUUGAGAGCGGCCGGUCCGCCGUUUGGUGUGCACUGGCUGGUUUCAACUUCCUGUAGAGGACGCGCUUUGGGCUUAACGGUCUGAACGUGGAGUCUACGUGGUUACUUUGAAAAAAUUAGAGUGUUCAAAGCGGGCUUACGCUUGAAUAUUUCAGCAUGGAAUAACACUAUAGGACUCCUGUCCUAUUUCGUUGGUCUCGGGACGGGAGUAAUGAUUAAGAGGAACAGUUGGGGGCAUUCGUAUUUCAUUGCCAGAGGUGAAAUUCUUGGAUUUAUGAAAGACGAACUUCUGCGAAAGCAUUUGCCAAGGAUGUUUUCAUUGA